GCACUUUAUUUAUUAUUCUUGGUGUUGAGAAUAUGUUUGACGUUUACUCACUUUCCGUUUUGGUACUUGGCAUUUGGUAUGUGUAUUUGGUAUUUUUAUACUUGUUUCCAGUUGGUGACCCUUAUUUUGCAUGCCAUAUCGCGGGCUCCUCCCACCCCCAGACGAUGGAGCGCCAUCUGAGACCGUAGGCCGUGUGGACGGCGAGGACUUCGUGGACUAUCCCGGAGUGUAGAGAGUAGCGCUUGUUAGGCUACAUUUUUUGGUUAGGCUUAGGGCCUAGUUGUAUUUUGGAUGACUGUAUGUCUUAUACAUUUAUACUCAGACAUGUUUAGUGCCUUUUGGCCUUGUGAUAUAGUCGGUUCAUAACUCGUGUUUUUUGGUUGAUGAACUUAAUGUAUCCGCUGUAUGUAAAUUAUUCAGGUACACACUUUGCUUCGAGGAAGCCCUGUAAUAUAAUGUGUUGAUGUUAUAUUUAUUUUCUAUUGANNNNGCGUUCACGCGCGCCAUUUUAUUUAAGCGUGUUGUUUUUAAAAUAAAAAAAAAAAUAAUACCCCUUUUUAUGCUUUGAAAAACGGGGUGUUACAUUUUGGUAUCAGAGCUCGGCAUUAGAUCUUCAAAGGGAAAGUGUGUAC
This 632-nucleotide long non-coding RNA is filed under the name Trifolium pratense (red clover). RNAcentral describes it as "long non-coding RNA (TPRA_LNC007616)". The record is from RNAcentral. Lineage: Eukaryota; Viridiplantae; Streptophyta; Magnoliopsida; Fabales; Fabaceae.